UGGCGGCGUGCUUAAUACAUGCCAGUCGUGCGAGAAAGUCACCUUCGGGUGGUGAGUAACGCGGCGAACUGGGUGAAUAACACGUAAUAAACCUGCCCCUAAAUCCUGGAAUAACAUUGCUAACGCGGUGCUAAUACCGGAUGUGGUCUCCAGUUUGCAUGAACAGGAGAUAAAAGGUGACCUCUACUUGUAAGUUAUCGGUGAGGGAUGGUCUUGCGGACCAUUAGCUUGUUGGCGGGGUAACGGGCCACCAAGGCUGCGAUGGUUAGCCUGCUUAAGAGGGUGAUCGGCCACAUUGCGUGCACUGAGAUACGGCCCAGACUCCUACGGGAGGCAACAAUAGGGAAUUUUGCGCAAUGGACGAAAGUCUGACGCAUCAACGCCGCGUGAGCGAUGAAGGUUUUCGGAUUGUAAAGCUCUGUAGAGUGGGAAUAAAACUCUCCGGGAUAAUACCCCGGAGACUUGACGGUACCACUCGAGGAAGCCCCGGCUAAAUACGUGCCAGCAGCCGCGGUAAUACGUAUGGGGCAAGCGUAGUUCGGAAUCACUGGGCGUAAAGGGAGUGUAGGCGGAAAGGUAAGUUAGAAGUGUAAUCCACGGGCUUAAGCCGUGACUCGCUUUUAAUACUGCUUUUCUUGAGUAUGGGAGAGGGAGAUGGAAUUCCAGGUGUAGCGGUGGAAUGCGUAGAUAUCUGGAAGAACACCAGUAUCGAAGCCGGUCUCAUGGCCCAAUACUGACGCUGAGGCUCGAAAGCGUGGGGAGCGAACAGGAUUAGAUACCCUGGUAGUCGACGCCGUAAACGAUGGACACUAGAUGUUGGCCUCUUCGGGGCUCGGUGUCGUAGCUAACGCGUUAAGUGUCCCGCCUGGGAAGUACGCUCGCAAGAGUGAAACUCAAAGGAAUUGACGAGGGCCCGCACAAGCGGUGGAGCAUGUGCUUUAAUUCGAUGCAACGCGAAGAACCUUACCUGGACUUGACAUGGGGGUGAAAGUUUUCAGAGAUGUAAACCCUUCCUUCGGGAACGCCCUACACAGGUGCUGCAUGGCCGUCGUCAGCUCGUGUCGUGAGAUGCUGGGUUAAGUCCCGCAACGAGCGCAACCCUUGUCCUUAGUUGCCAGCGGGUCAUGCCGGGAACUCUAGGGAGACUGCCUGGUACAACCAGGAGGAAGGUGGGGAUGACGUCAAAUCAUCAUGGCCUUUACGUCCAGGGAUAGACACGUGCUACAAUGACCGGUACAGAGGGCUGCAAGAC
Molecule: ribosomal RNA, 1252 nt
Filed under: uncultured organism
Description: bacterial SSU rRNA
Rfam family: Bacterial small subunit ribosomal RNA
Source: RNAcentral